UCCGUAGGCGGGCAAUUAAGUCAGAGGUGAAAUCCCACAGCUCAACUGUGGAACUGCCUUUGAUACUGGUUGUCUUGAGUUACAGUGAAGUAGAUAGAAUAUGUAGUGUAGCGGUGAAGUGCAUAGAUAUUACAUAGAAUACCGAUUGCGAAGGCAGUCUACUAACUGUAUACUGACGCUAAUGGACGAAAGCGUGGGGAGCGAACAGGAUUAGAUACCCUGGUAGUCC
RNAcentral lists this ribosomal RNA (229 nucleotides) under uncultured bacterium. Its description in RNAcentral is "partial 16S ribosomal RNA". It matches the Rfam family "Bacterial small subunit ribosomal RNA", at positions 568 to 796 of the family's 1533-position model. The record is from RNAcentral.